RNAcentral lists this small RNA (150 nucleotides) under Gillisella taibaishanensis. RNAcentral's name for it is "Rhizobium taibaishanense sRNA ar9". It matches the Rfam family "Alphaproteobacterial sRNA ar9". The record is from RNAcentral. Lineage: Bacteria; Pseudomonadati; Pseudomonadota; Alphaproteobacteria; Hyphomicrobiales; Rhizobiaceae.
ACAAAACAGGCAGAAAGCUUAAAUUUCUGUCGAAUUCGCGGUAAAGUCUUGGGAGGAUCAGAUCUUAGGCGCGGUUACUCGCAGCCCCUUAAUUGGUGAAAGGUCACGCGACAUUUGUACAAACAAGGUCUUCGGACCUUGUUUUUUUUU